GUUAUGGCACAUACAAAAAUCGAUAUAUUUUUGCUCACUAGGGCAAACGGACAAGACAGCUCCUGGCCAAAGGUGACCAUCCCAGAGACUCCAGCUGCUGGCAUUUUGGCAGCAUCUGAAAAACUCGAAUUGGGCAUUUCUAUGAACUGUAACUUCAC
This 158-nucleotide long non-coding RNA is filed under the name Pan paniscus (pygmy chimpanzee). Its description in RNAcentral is "lncRNA (ENSPPAG00000045467.1)". The record is from RNAcentral. Lineage: Eukaryota; Metazoa; Chordata; Mammalia; Primates; Hominidae.